UACGGGAGGCAGCGGUGGGGAAUAUUGCACAAUGGGCGCAAGCCUGAUGCAGCCAUGCCGCGUGUAUGAAGAAGGCCUUCGGGUUGUAAAGUACUUUCAGUCGUGAGGAAGGUGUUAAGGUUAAUAACCUUAGCAAUUGACGUUAGCGACAGAAGAAGCACCGGCUAACUCCGUGCCAGCAGCCGCGGUAAUACGGAGGGUGCGAGCGUUAAUCGGAAUUACUGGGCGUAAAGGGCACGCAGGCGGUUAAUUAAGUUGGAUGUGAAAUCCCCGGGCUUAACCUGGGAAUGGCAUUCAAGACUGGUUAGCUAGAGUCUUGUAGAGGGGGUAGAAUUCCGAUGUGUAGCGGUGAAAUGCGUAGAGAUGUGGAGGAAUACCGGUGGCGAAGGCGGCCCCUGGACAAAGACUGACGCUCAUGUGCGAAAGCGUGGGGAGCAAACAGGGAUUAGAUACC
This 454-nucleotide ribosomal RNA is filed under the name uncultured bacterium. RNAcentral describes it as "bacterial SSU rRNA". It matches the Rfam family "Bacterial small subunit ribosomal RNA", at positions 340 to 786 of the family's 1533-position model. The record is from RNAcentral.